RNAcentral lists this ribosomal RNA (499 nucleotides) under uncultured Desulfobulbus sp. Its description in RNAcentral is "bacterial SSU rRNA". It matches the Rfam family "Bacterial small subunit ribosomal RNA", at positions 887 to 1382 of the family's 1533-position model. Lineage: Bacteria; Pseudomonadati; Thermodesulfobacteriota; Desulfobulbia; Desulfobulbales; Desulfobulbaceae. The record is from RNAcentral.
GCCCGCUCAGAAACUUAAAGGAAUUGACGGGGCCCGCACAAGCGGUGGAGUAUGUGGUUAAUUCGAUGCAACGCGAAGAACCUUACCUGGUCUUGACAUCCCGGAGACCCUUAGGAAACUAGGGGGUGCUUCCAUCUGGAAGAAUCUGGAGACAGGUGCUGCAUGGCUGUCGUCAGCUCGUGUCGUGAGAUGUUGGGUUAAGUCCCGCAACGAGCGCAACCCUUGCCUUUAGUUGCCAGUAGUUCGGCUGGGCACUCUAAAGGGACUGCCGGUGUUAAACCGGAGGAAGGUGGGGAUGACGUCAAGUCCUCAUGGCCUUUAUGACCAGGGCUACACACGUACUACAAUGGCCGAUACAAAGGGCAGCGACACUGCGAGGUGAAGCCAAUCCCGUAAAAUCGGUCUCAGUCCGGAUUGGAGUCUGCAACUCGACUCCAUGAAGUUGGAAUCGCUAGUAAUCGUGGAUCAGCAUGCCACGGUGAAUACGUUCCCGGGCCUU